This is an RNA transcript of Sinocyclocheilus grahami, 3319 nucleotides long. It is a transcript of the gene named ring finger protein 166, with no coding region annotated. The transcript is spliced from 7 exons. NCBI's taxonomy places the organism in Eukaryota, Metazoa, Chordata, Actinopteri, Cypriniformes, Cyprinidae. The record is from RefSeq and is a predicted model, not a curated record.
CUCCCAUCAUUUUGUUGGUCUAAUCGGAUCGAGACCGUUCGGUUAAAGCUACCAUAUAAUGUUUACUUCUUUGGAACAACGGCGUGUCCUCCUUGGUUAACACUGUUGGAGAUCGCAGAUGCGGUAUCUAAUGUCGUGUAAAUCACACUUUCCCUGCGAGACAUUCGUUAAAACCACGGAAUCCUAUUUGCAUCGGAAGUAUUAGUUCAUCCUGCGGUCUGUGUUCAUGAUGGCGAUGUUCCGCAGUUUUGUGUCUGCUGCUCAGCUCAGGCAGCAUCAGCAGCAAAAUGGAGCCGCAGCAGCCGCACCUGGGGAAAGCCUGGAGAGCCAGUUCUCUUGUCCCAUCUGUCUGGAGGUGUACCACAAACCUGUCAGCAUCGCAAGCUGCGCCCAUACUUUCUGUGGGGAUUGUCUACAGCCGUGUUUGCAGGUGACAUCGCCUCUCUGUCCCCUCUGCCGUAUGCCUUUCGAUCCAAAGAAAGUGGACAAAUCCCCCAGCGUGGAGAAGCAGCUCUCUUCAUAUAAGGCUCCAUGUAGAGGGUGCAGCAAAAAGGUCACCCUGGUCAAAAUGCGGUCGCAUAUUUCAACUUGCACAAAGGUUCAGGAACAGAUGGCCAAUUGCCCAAAGUUCAUGCCUGUGGUCCCCACCUCACAACCCAUUCCCAGCAAUAUUCCAAACCGCUCCACAUUUGUGUGCCCGUACUGUGGCGCUCGCAACUUGGACCAACAGGAACUAGUGAAGCACUCCAUGGAGAACCAUCGCAAUGACCCCAACAAAGUGGUAUGUCCAGUAUGUUCAGCUAUGCCUUGGGGUGACCCUAGCUAUAAGAGCUCCAACUUUCUGCAGCAUCUUCUCCACCGGCACAAAUUCUCCUAUGACACAUUUGUGGACUACAGCAUUGAUGAGGAGGCAGCACUGCAGGCAGCACUGACCCUCUCACUGUCUGAGAGCUGAGAGUCUGGCAUUAUAUCCUGUACCACAAACACAACCAUGUGAAGGAUCUUCUCACGUGUCUUGUUUUAGGCUAAAUAUUUUCAUUGUUCCUCUGUUUGUCCUCUCACUCUACCUCUCUUCUGGUAUAUAUUUCUGAGCUACACUCCAGCUAGAUCCUGAAGUAGCUCGAUAGCUUGUUUGCCAGUUGCAUAACAGUUGAGCAAGCUUGUUACUUCCUGAAUUUUAAGGGGAGGAGCUUCUGGUUGGCUAUCAUCAUCAUUAUCGUUAUCGUAACCAUCAAAACUGCAACCAACAAAACACUGAUGUAUGCAAAAAGUCAGACAAAGGAAUAGAUCAAUAACACCAUGCUUGUUCUUGUUGUUCUUCCUAUUGUUUUCUGUCCAAAUGUGACUUAGACCCCAGCAAAGAAUUGAAAGCCAGUACAGAAUCAGUUCAAAACAGUGCGUCAUGUUAAAGCGAAGUUGAAAAGGGACCUAUGUUGGGGUUGGCUGUCCUCUCAUCUUUAGGCAAUACCAAUAGAGAGAAUGAGAGAUUGAUCUUCAGCAUCCUCAUUAUCACUCAUUUCUUCAUGUAUGGAAUGCGGAAUACCAUCUGCCCUUUUUUAAUCAAGAGUUGAUGUGAAUAAUUGCACUCGUCACAGUUUUCUACAUGUCUGAAUUAUAGUAUCGUUGUUCUUUUCUAGUUCAACAACAGAAUAUUGACCGACAGGACUGCAUACUCUGCUCUUAACCUGCUACAGUAAUAUUUUCUAAGAAGCAUCGGAUAAGAUUAAAAUUUAUAUUUUUGGAAAAAAGUUUCCGUUUUAAAUGGUGCACUAAUAAUAAGACUGCAAGCUUCUAGAGGUGUGCUGAAACGUUUUAUCUUUUAAUGUAUCCAUUAGUACUGUUCAUCUGUAUCACUUACAAGUGCUGACUUCAAGUCCUUUGGGAGAUUUUUAUUUAUGAGUUCCGUAAUCUUAAUUUUGAUGCAACGUGAAUUCAAGCGAUUUGGUCGGAAUAAGAUGGAUUCAUUGGGCAAGUGUCUUUCUCUCUCGAUCAUUUCCCGAUAAAAGCUUUUUAGCAUAUAUUUUGUCAUUCUUGUGCUGCCACAGAAAAUGAUAGGAAGUGUUCGCACACUUAAUGAUCAACAGGGGGCCAAAAAUUGGUGUAUUAACAUGGCAUAGUUAGCCUGCUGGUUGAGUCUGUAAUUACACACACUGCUUUGUAAAAGCACCUUUUCCCAUUCAAAAUUAUGAUGUGAAUUCAUUUUCACAGUUAUAGUGUAUUAUGAUUAAUACCAGCUUCUGCCACAACUGAUUCUUGUAUUGACAGGCAUUCAUGUCCACUAAAUACAAUUAUUCCAACGUGACUUGAAAGCAGCAUUGAUAUGGAGAAACUUGAGAACAUCCUAACAGGAAGUGGAACAGUGUGUAGUUGUUUUGGCCACAAAGUCAUUCAGAGCGCAGACUCGGUUUCUUUGGUCUUUUACUACUACUGGUAGGGCUUUCUGUACUUUGUAAGUGUUGAAUCUAAGCCUAUGUACAGUGUUAAGGAGCACUGAUGUUUAGAGGAGCAUUGGUGUGAUCGGGUUAGGCAUUAGAGAUCAGAAUCUAAUAUCCCUACUUUGCAGACAUGCCUAACCAUGUCUUUAAGAGUUGAGUUGACAAAACAUACUCUACCCAAGUACACAAAUGUGAAUGCCAAAGCAUAGCUCAAAGUCAACAUUCUUUGUUUUCCUUUCUCUAAAAGGAUUUAAAACCAAACAAAGUAUUAAAAUAUGUAAUCCAAACAUGUUUCCUUGGAAGUAUUCAGGAAUGUUGGUGUUAUUACAGUGUAAUAACUGUGGGGUUAACAAACCACAGUAUUCCGAAUGCGAUAGUCACCUUCAAAUUGCUGUGCUAUUAAACUGGAUGCAUUAAGUAGCUAGCUAUAAACAUGUUGACUUUUAUCAGACAAGAUUCUUGUCAGACUGUUGUUGCGUCUUGACCAUACUUGACACAAAAGAAAACUGCCUCUAGAAUAAUUUAAAUUGCGAUAUUGCGUUUACAGUAAUGCUGUGAAUAGAUACUUGUGUUAUGAAUUGCGUUUUGACACAUUUUGGAAUACAACUUGUGAAACUGAGCUUGUGUACUAUAGCUAGAAUCAACUGUGUUUGUGUACCUGCAUAGAGUAUGUUACAGGUCUACAAUGAUGUGCUCCAAGCUUCUGAGUUUCUGUGGCGCACUUAGUUUGGCAGAUUAGUUUGAUGCUGGUGCAUCAUUACGCAUUUGAUAUAGAUUUGAUAACUCUGCCAGAUGUAAUGGUUUUAAUAUAUUUAGAGCCAAUCUUGACAAAAGAGUGGAAGACCAUUAGGGCUGGUUGAAAAUUUUUUCAAGUUACCAACUUU